RNAcentral lists this long non-coding RNA (788 nucleotides) under Pan troglodytes (chimpanzee). Its description in RNAcentral is "long non-coding RNA NONPTRT016929". Lineage: Eukaryota; Metazoa; Chordata; Mammalia; Primates; Hominidae. The record is from RNAcentral.
CUGAAGGGCCUCAAGAGAUGAACUAUUCAAUUCCCCUUCUGCCCAUUAAAAACACAAACUGUCAUAUUCUGCUGGUCAUCUUAGAAGAGAAAAAAAUCUAUUAAACAGAAUUAUUUAGAAUAGUUUCAGGUUUCCUGUUCACAGACUUGGGAGAGUGCUAUCUCUUACACAUCAUAUAGGUGACAGUACUGAACUAAACUGGCGUGGAUGGGUUGCCCUCUCUUCCAAACACAUAGACAUGUUUGAUAAAAUAUAAGAUAGCUGAGUUCCAAACCAGACAAAAAAAUCAAACGCAUUUCUAAGUGUGUGUUCAGAGCUAAGAGAAUAAAGACUUGCUGCAGGAGGCUUUGGACCUGCAAGCAGGAAUUAGGAGAAAUGGCAUUAAUUCCUAAGUAGGUACAGGAAAUGAGAGCUCAGGUUUCUGUGAAGCAGAGUUGGAACACGUGAAUGGUAGAAGCUGACAACUUAAAGUAAAAUCACAUUUAAUAUGGUUUUAACUCUGAUGUUUCUAUUGCCAUGUUUUAAAUUUCUAACAAUAUAUCUUUCUUAGCAGGUCUUAGUGAAACUAAAUAUGCAUGUAGAUAUUUAAAAAUAUAGCUGCACCUGGCUGGGCCCCGCCGGCCCCGGGCUGUGCGGCUCCACUCUUUGCCUUCAGGUACUCGUGGAUGGCCUCCUCAAUGUCCCUGUCCACGGAAUCAUCACUGUCUGAAUCUUUUUGUUUUGCUAUGAGAACAUGAGCUUUAGAUGACACUUUUAUACAUAUCGAAAUUAGUUUAUUUUGUAUAAGA